Molecule: non-coding RNA, 77 nt
Organism: Potamilus streckersoni
Lineage: Eukaryota; Metazoa; Mollusca; Bivalvia; Unionida; Unionidae
Source: the annotation of a GenBank genome assembly
GAUCGCUUUGGUGGCCUAGUGGUUAGAGCGUCCGACUUCGAUGCCGGAGGUCGUGGGUUCGAUCCCCAGUUCGAUCA